RNAcentral lists this ribosomal RNA (498 nucleotides) under uncultured bacterium. Its description in RNAcentral is "partial 16S ribosomal RNA". It matches the Rfam family "Bacterial small subunit ribosomal RNA", at positions 30 to 523 of the family's 1533-position model. The record is from RNAcentral.
AUUGAACGCUGGCGGCAUGCCUUACACAUGCAAGUCGAACGGUAACAGGUCUUCGGACGCUGACGAGUGGCGAACGGGUGAGUAAUACAUCGGAACGUGCCCAGUCGUGGGGGAUAACUACUCGAAAGAGUAGCUAAUACCGCAUACGAUCUGAGGAUGAAAGCGGGGGACCUUCGGGCCUCGCGCGAUUGGAGCGGCCGAUGGCAGAUGAGGUAGUUGGUGGGAUAAAAGCUUACCAAGCCGACGAUCUGUAGCUGGUCUGAGAGGACGACCAGCCACACUGGGACUGAGACACGGCCCAGACUCCUACGGGAGGCAGCAGUGGGGAAUUUUGGACAAUGGGCGAAAGCCUGAUCCAGCAAUGCCGCGUGCAGGAUGAAGGCCUUCGGGUUGUAAACUGCUUUUGUACGGAACGAAAAAGUCUCCUCUAAUACAGGAGGCCCAUGACGGUACCGUAAGAAUAAGCACCGGCUAACUACGUGCCAGCAGCCGCCGCGG